AGGAAUAACUUUGCAUUCACAGUUGUAAUAGUUGUAUUGGACGAAUCAUUUUCAAUCAUUUUAAUAUCUAGUUAUCAGGUCCUGCAACUCUUUGGAUCUAUUCCUCCUGGUGGUUGGCCUUUGCUUUCCACGAUGCUGUUUGUUGGCGUGACGCUCCCUCCAUGGAGUAUCUGAAGGACUGGACAGCCAUUAAUGAGUUGAAUGUGACCUCGAGACGUCGUGUGUGACCAGCAAUUCUCGAUGCCCUGUAAGUAAUCGUAAAAGUAGUAAUUGACUUGCAUCUGAGUCAUAUUAAAGAUUGAAAUGAUGAGGUUAUUAGGCUCCGACCUGUCCCCUCUCUGUGCAUGCGAUGCCCUGCUUCGCCGCCGCUAGCGGCCACAAUUGACGUCGCAGCGUUCGACGUUUUACUGGUACGAACGCCUAGUAGUUAAUACUUUGAACGAUUAAUAAAGACUCAGAUAGAUCAAAUCGCUUGUGGCAGACAUGAAGACACGAAGCUUCAACGGAAAUCUGAUAGAAGAUAAGAUUUUUCCAAAUAAAUCUUAUCUAUUCUGUUGAGAAAAAUCCUUCCUCCUAAUCCUAUAAAUAGGAGAGCAACGUGUUAAUGUAUUCAAACUAAGUUAUUUCACCUUUUUAAUAAAGUUUUUUCUAUUAUUAUUCUUAUCUUCUAUUAUUUCUAUCAAAAUUGAAUAAGACAGUUCAUGGAUCAAAUCCUCCUCCCACCAAAGCUUGAGAUCAUGGAGUUGGCCAGGCAAAAGUUCCUUUUUGCCGCAAGUGUCUUCGUCCUGUGCUUUCGUAGCUUCUGCCACGCUGAGAAACGUCCGUCUCUUGUCUCUAGUUGAGAUAUAUCUGUACCCUCUUCAUUCGCUGAUACUGACAAGCUUCUUGUGUCUCUCUGUUGNNNNNNNNNNNNNNNNNNNNCCCCACUCGGUGUAGCCACGUGACAACAAGCAAAGCGGAGUUGGGUGUUCACGGGGUCACUGCUCUCUGCCCUAAUCCAUCAUCAUCAGACGCUAAUGCUGAUGGAGGCCCAAUGCCUACCGUCCGAUUGGCGGAUGGUAAUGUUGGUAAGCUGGGGCACUUCGACACGCCUUCCCCCGGUGUGGGACCCGGCUCUCGUUCCCGCCCCCUGGUCCACCCCAACUUUUAAUGCCGGCCACGGACGUCGCCCCACGACGCGCGUCCGUCGCCCCGAGUGGGGGCCACGCUCGGUCCACCCGUCGGCAUGGGCGAAGGCUGGUGCCGGGGACCACCGUGUUGAUCGGGCUCCGUCCCGAGGACGAUGGGUGACGAGCCACGUGCCCCUCGUGUGGAUCCACCCAACCUUCCCCCCGACGGCAGCCCCCCACCUCUUCGUCGACGCAUGGUAUUUCGUCGGCCCCACACCUGAGAAACUCAAUGAAAAGGCGGGUGGACAAAAUGGGUAGGUAAACGAUGUAUUUCGAAAAUAAUCGCCCACGCCCCAGCGACACAAAGGGGCUGAAGAGGGCAGUGGGCCCCGCUUCCGGUGGAAUCAAGAAGAAGAAGAAGAAGAAGAAGAAGGGAAGGGAGGCACGGGUGUAGCCUAGGCAGGGAAAGUUUGGUGGAGCUUAGGCAAGGGAACGCAGUCUCCGAAAUCCCAUAACUAACCCUUUCGGGUGCAGGCCGACCCGCACGCUGUCUUCCUGAUCACGAUCCGACGGUCAAAGUUCACUAGAAUAGGGACACAGUUGGAAUAGGAGUUCCGAUCUCGUCGUGGUGGGUGAUGAAUAAAGAGAGGGUGUAUCUCGUGAGCCAUGUGAAUUAAGAUGCAAUCAAAUGAGAUGCAUCUGUAUGGUGGUGAGAUUUGAGGAUGUCACUUUUAUCUCUUGGAUUCAAAAUCUAAGAAUAUUUAUAAAUUUUGAACUUAUUCUUCAGAGUCACUAUUGUUGAUAGCGUAUUUACUACUGUGAAUCAGUGUCUCAUGAGCAGAAAGAAAGGGACAAUCAUGAAAAAAGAAGACCAACAAAACAAAAGAGAUUUCUAUCGUUUAUAACAGAUUUACUAUUUAUAAUCUCAUUUUUAAUUUUUUGUAAUAUUCGUAAGAUACCCCUCAAUAAAUGAAUGAAUGUCAAUCUCAUCAACUUAUCCCUUAAUUAUCGUAAUAUUUUUUAAGACUCAAUUAGUGUUGAUGCUUAACAUGAUGAUUGAUCGAUUUAUGAAAUAUGACAAUAUGAAGUAAUGAUAUUUGAGGGGUUAUAACAAAUAAGGGUAUAAUUAGUAAUUGAGAAGUUGUAUUUAGUAAAAUUAUAUUUUAUUAUUUUUUAAAAUGAUUGUAUAAAGUAAAGGGAUAUUAAUAGCCAAAAAAAAAUGAAUUGUCAAUAGCAAUAUUCCAGACAAAUAUUAUAAAUUAAAAGAUACUAAUGGUAUUUGAUAGGGGUAAAAACGAAUAGGGCACGACGCACCGGAUUUGACGUAACACUGCCCCAUGACAACCGCCCCAAACGGCGCACCAUGCCAAGGGACAAGCAUUAAUACCAGCGUAACGCGCACCCUCACCGAUCGUACCCGCACGGCCUCGUCUUGCUGACCCCGUACGACCGGACAGAGCAGGGGAAGGCGUCAGCCAAGGCUUACCACACCCUACAACUCGACCUUACCGUGCAACGCCCACAACGGCAACAGACGUGAUCAGGAGUACGACUCUGCCCCGGCGAUGUGGCGUCAGGUAACAUCAAGCUCACAUAUAAAUACCCACGGGCUCCCAGCCGGCGGGGUAAGCAGACAAGCACAGGAUUUUCCCCUAAAACUCCCCUCCACACCGCUAACUUGACCGUUGGAGGGGUCGGGCCGAAUCGCCGACCCGACCUUUGUGCAGGUAUUCGGGGAAAGCCGACCCAGCAGCGCGGAGCAUCCCGGCCUUAUUCCCCGUGAUCGGUCGUUCCAAGAUCUCAAUCCUGGUAGCCUCGCCUGAUCCUAGUCGUUCGGACCCCUGAACCAGCCGCGUCGACCCCCAGGUCAUGGCUAAAAAAGUUACUUACCGUAACAGUAUUGAUUCUCAAAGGAAACAACAAUACAACCACUAAUUAAUUGACUCAUCCAUCUCAAGCUCUUAGAAUGAUGAUAAGAGUUUCUUAAUUUAUCAUUGUUUACUAAAGAUAAACCUAUUUUAAUAUCCAAUUAUCCAAUUGGCUUCAUCAAUUCCAAGUCUGAUACCUCGUUAUUUAUUUGCCAGCACAAUGAAAGCAUAAUAUAUCUUUUAGUAUAUGUGAAUGAUAUUAUUGUCAUAGAAAAUGAUUGAAGACUCAGGCAUUUCUAAAGCACUUGGCCGAUCGAUUCUCCCUCAAAGAUCUAGGAACUUUAAGCUACUUUUUGAGAGUGGAAGCAACAUUUACACCUUCAGGUCUCUUCCUAUCACAAAGAAAGUAUAUUCAAGAUUUAUUAUUAAAGAGGUUACAACUUCUCUCUCUACCAAUGAGUCACUUAAAUUAUGUGAUGGAAGUCCUACUAAUUCGACUCAAUAUCGAAAAGUCCUUGGCUCCUUACAGUACUUGGCUCUCACUUGUCCAGAUAUUUCAUUUGCCGUCAAUAAAUUAUCGCAAUUCAUGCAUCGAUCAUCUACUACGCAUUGGUUUGCGGUCAAAAGAAUUUUGCGGUAUCUUAAAGGGACUCUUAAUCAUGGCAUUUUUCUUCGCAAAAAUACUUCACUCCAUCUCCAUGCUUUUGCUGAUGUUGAUUGGGUAGGGAACUUUGAUGAUAGAACUUCUACGUCCGGAUAUAUUGUUUUCCUUGGAGCUACUCCAAUCAGUUGGAGUUCAAAAAAACAAAAGACGAUUUCAUGAUCUAUAACUGAAGCUGAAUAUCGUGUCAUCGCCACCGCCGCUGCUGAACUCAAUUGGGUCACAAAUCUGCUCAAGGAACUCAACGUCAACUCCGCAGUUAUUCCUACAAUAUAUUGUGAUAAUAUUGGAGCUACCUACUUAUGUGCUAAUCCAGUGUUCCAUUCCCGCAUGAAACACAUAGCCAUUGACUUCCACUCCGUGCAAGAUCAAGUUGUCAGACAUCAACUCCGUUGUCAGACAUCAACUCCGUGUUUCUCACGUACAUACAGGUAAUCAACUAGCAAAGCCUCUCGCCCUUAAAGCAUAAGCUCAAUCUUACGGAGGCAUGAUAAGUAGAUAAGAUUUCCUCAAGGCAGUUGAGGAAAUCUCUAAGCAGUUGAGAAAAAUCCUCCAUGCUGAAUGUGUAUAAUCUCCCUGCUCAGUGUGUAUAAAUAACUAUCAAGAGCUCACUCUAAACGAAUUAGACAAUUACAUCUUAUACAUUUCAUAGUUUCUUCUAUAACUUCUAUCUUUCUAUAUUCUUCGUUUAAUUUUUUAAUCAGUUGUCAAUAAUAACUUUGCAUUCACAGUUGUAAUUGUUGUAUUGGACGAAUCAUUUUCAAUCAUUUUAAUAUCUAGUUAUCAGGUCCUGCUACUCUUUGGAUCUAUUCCUCCUGGUGGUUGGCCUUUGCUUUCGACGAUGCUGUUUGUUGGCGUGAAGCUCCCACCAUGGAGAAUCUGAAGGAUUGGACAGCCAUUAAUGAGUUGAAUGUGACCUCGAGACGCCGUGUGUGACCAGCAAUUCUCGAUCUAUCCAAAGUCAACCGUUUCCUGUAAGUAAUCGUAAAAGUAGUAAUUGACUUGCAUCUGAGUCAUAUUAAAGAUUGAAAUGAUUAGGUAAAUAGGCUCCGACCUGUCCCCUCUCUGCAUGCGAUGCCCUG
This 4720-nucleotide long non-coding RNA is filed under the name Musa acuminata (dwarf banana). Its description in RNAcentral is "long non-coding RNA (MACU_LNC002198)". The record is from RNAcentral. Lineage: Eukaryota; Viridiplantae; Streptophyta; Magnoliopsida; Zingiberales; Musaceae.